This 383-nucleotide ribosomal RNA is filed under the name Brasenia schreberi. Its description in RNAcentral is "28S rRNA". The stretch from base 1 to 203 matches the Rfam family "Eukaryotic large subunit ribosomal RNA", at positions 751 to 954 of the family's 3401-position model. The record is from RNAcentral. Lineage: Eukaryota; Viridiplantae; Streptophyta; Magnoliopsida; Nymphaeales; Cabombaceae.
GGGUGCACUGCCGACCGACCUUGAUCUUCUUGAGAAGGGUUSGAGUGGGAGCAUGCCUGUCGGGACCCGAAAGAUGGUGAACUAUGCGUGAGCGAGGUGAAGCCAGAGGAAACUCUGGUGGAGGCCCGCRGCGAUACUGACGUGCAAAUCGUUCGUCUGACUUGGGUAUAGGGGCGAAAGACUAAUCGAACCAUCUAUGGUGGUUGACGGCAACGUUAGGGAGUCCGGAGACGNUGGCGGGGGCCUCGGGAAGAGUUAUCUUUUAUGCUUAACAGCCUGCCAACCCUGGAAANGCCUCAGSCGGAGAUAGGGUCCAGCGGUUGGAAGAGNACNGCACGUCCUGCGGUGUCCGAUNGCCCCCGGCGACCCUUGAAAAUCUGGAU